UAUCUCUCCGUACGGGGAAGGAUGAGAAGCUUCGACUAAGGUUCGAUUUGAGCGAAAGCGAGAAAGCGUUGCCGCAGGCAACGACCCGAAGGGCGAAGCGCGCAGCGCUGAGUAAUCCUUCCCCCACCACCA
RNAcentral lists this small RNA (132 nucleotides) under Salmonella enterica. Its description in RNAcentral is "RtT sRNA". It matches the Rfam family "RtT RNA". From Rfam's summary of the family: This family represents a bacterial cis-regulatory element known as RtT RNA. The exact function of RtT is unknown although it is thought that it may be involved in changing the cellular response in relation to amino acid starvation. RNAcentral also lists the same sequence under 2 other names. The record is from RNAcentral. Lineage: Bacteria; Pseudomonadati; Pseudomonadota; Gammaproteobacteria; Enterobacterales; Enterobacteriaceae.